UAUAAACCGCACAGCCACCAAUGCAGAAAGGACACGACUCCUGACGACUGGUGCGACAACAUCUAUGCAACGCGCUGCGGACGGGUUCCUUCGGCAGCGAUCAGGUUGCUGCAGGGAACAUCGAUUGGAAUUCCAGCUCCCUCGACAGUGACGUAUAGACGAACGAGAGCCAGCGGUACAGACCCUGCAGCAGCAGAUGACUUCAAUAUGUACGCUACUGUCGCAACCAUGGUCGCUACAGCUCUGGAGCACAUCUGCCGGCAUCGGACGAUUGCCAAACUGCCAUCCGAGACACCAACGAGAUCGUCAGGUAUUAGAAUACCGUCCUUCGGGUGACUUCUUGCACUUGUCGGACCAUUGAAAAGGUGGGGACGAGUGUGGGGAUAGCAUGAUGUUAUCACUCAUCCCUUAUCUACUGCGAGAAAACAUUAAGCCUGUUGAGCCGUAGCGUCACGGAUGCGGAAAAGAAAUGCCUCUCGAUGACUGUACCUGACAGAUUACGGCGCAAUGGUCUUCUGCACAGGGAAUGACAGUGUACGUAAAUAAACAUAUUAGUUAACCUGA
Molecule: long non-coding RNA, 564 nt
Organism: Ornithodoros turicata
Lineage: Eukaryota; Metazoa; Arthropoda; Arachnida; Ixodida; Argasidae
Exons: 2
Source: RefSeq, a predicted model, not a curated record